RNAcentral lists this ribosomal RNA (253 nucleotides) under uncultured bacterium. Its description in RNAcentral is "partial 16S ribosomal RNA". It matches the Rfam family "Bacterial small subunit ribosomal RNA", at positions 524 to 776 of the family's 1533-position model. The record is from RNAcentral.
GACGGAGGGUGCUAGCGUUGUUCGGAAUUACUGGGCGUAAAGGGCGCGUAGGCGGCUACGGCAGUCGGGUGUGAAAGCCCGGGGCUCAACCCCGGAACGGCAUCCGAUACUCUGUGGCUAGAGACCGGAAGAGGUGGGUGGAAUUCCUAGUGUAGAGGUGAAAUUCGUAGAUAUUAGGAAGAACACCGGUGGCGAAGGCGGCCCACUGGUCCGGUACUGACGCUGAGGUGCGAAAGCGUGGGGAGCGAACAGG